This 21-nucleotide non-coding RNA is filed under the name Mus musculus (house mouse). The record is from RNAcentral. Lineage: Eukaryota; Metazoa; Chordata; Mammalia; Rodentia; Muridae. RNAcentral also lists the same sequence under 1 other name.
AUACCGGGUGCUGUAGGCUUU